GUUUUUGUACUUUCCAAACCAAUUCUGACUUACAAAUACAUUUUUGUUUUUGUUCUGUAAAAUUCUGAAAGGACAAUCAGAAGCAAUAUACUGUUUAAUAUUCCUGCCAGCCCACCAAAAAUUAGGAAGAUUCCAGGACACUUUAAAUGGGAAAUGGAUUGGAGUGUGGCAGGAAGGGAGAGAGAGAGAGAGAAAGGAAAGACAGGAUAGAGAGAGACAACUAGACCUGCUGUAUCUGAUGAGUUGAUCUGUCAUGAAGAUUUGGGCUUGGCUGGAGAAGUGGAGUUUCACUGGACCUCUGUGGCUCCAUCUGCUGAAAUAUUCAUCUUUAGUAGUAAUUGAGAGGCAGAAAGGGAGAACAAAACAUGAGGAAGAAAUCUGAAGUACUGAAUCGUCUUGCAGCAAUUCAGUUUCUCACAAGGAUGCCA
Long non-coding RNA from Carassius carassius (crucian carp), 428 nucleotides. RefSeq lists it as uncharacterized. NCBI's taxonomy places the organism in Eukaryota, Metazoa, Chordata, Actinopteri, Cypriniformes, Cyprinidae. The record is from RefSeq and is a predicted model, not a curated record. The transcript is spliced from 3 exons.